RNAcentral lists this ribosomal RNA (253 nucleotides) under uncultured bacterium. RNAcentral's name for it is "partial 16S ribosomal RNA". It matches the Rfam family "Bacterial small subunit ribosomal RNA", at positions 524 to 776 of the family's 1533-position model. The record is from RNAcentral.
UACGGAGGGUGCGAGCGUUAAUCGGAAUAACUGGGCGUAAAGGGCACGCAGGCGGGCUUUUAAGUGAGAUGUGAAAUCCCCGGGCUUAACCUGGGAAUUGCAUUUGAAACUGGGUAACUAGAGUAUGUCAGAGGAAGGCGGAAUUUCCAGUGUAGCAGUGAAAUGCGUAGAGAUUGGAAGGAACACCGAUGGCGAAGGCAGCCCCUUGGGAAUGUACUGACGCUCAUGUGCGAAAGCGUGGGGAGCAAACAGG